GAUAUUGGUCAAUGGGCGAAAGCCUGAUACAGCCAUGCCGCGUGAUUGAAGAAGGACUUCGGUAUGUAAAGCACUUUACGUAGGGAGGAAUGGCAGUAGGUUAAUCCACUGCUGUUUUGACUAUACCGCCAGAAUAAGCACUGGCUAACUACCUGACUGCAGCCGCGGUAAUACGUAGGGGCCCAGCGUUGUCCGGAAUUACUGGGCGUAAAGGUUGCGUAGGCGGCCCUUUAAGUCAGAUGUGAAAGGCCACGGCUUAACCGUGGGAUUGCAUUUGAAACUGGAGGGCUUGAGUGUCGGAGAGGGUAGUGGAAUUCCCAGUGUAGCGGUGAAAUGCGUAGAUAUUGGGAGGAACACCAGUGGCGAAGGCGACUACCUGGACGAUAACUGCCGCUGAGGCACGAAAGCUAGGGGAGCAAAA
This 421-nucleotide ribosomal RNA is filed under the name uncultured bacterium. Its description in RNAcentral is "partial 16S ribosomal RNA". It matches the Rfam family "Bacterial small subunit ribosomal RNA", at positions 359 to 773 of the family's 1533-position model. The record is from RNAcentral.